Molecule: non-coding RNA, 244 nt
Organism: Danio rerio (zebrafish)
Lineage: Eukaryota; Metazoa; Chordata; Actinopteri; Cypriniformes; Danionidae
Source: RefSeq, a predicted model, not a curated record
UUCUCUCUGUCCAGAUCUCAGACACAUAUGCAGGUCUGGAUCUACAGUCUGCGACCUCUGACCUGUACAACACACUCACAACCGUUCACCACAGACCUGCUGAAAACUCCUGCUCCACUCUUGAUCCUCAGAGCUCUUCUGAACAUCACAAUCCACCAAUCAACAGGAGGAGGCUGCAGUGAGAGGCGGAGCCAGUAACAACCAAUCCUGAGAUGUGUGGGUGGGGCCACGGGUGAUUGACAGG